RNAcentral lists this ribosomal RNA (364 nucleotides) under uncultured bacterium. RNAcentral's name for it is "bacterial SSU rRNA". It matches the Rfam family "Bacterial small subunit ribosomal RNA", at positions 441 to 793 of the family's 1533-position model. The record is from RNAcentral.
AGGAAGGUAGUGUAGUUAACACCUGCAUUAUUUGACGUUACCUACAGAAGAAGCACCGGCUAACUCCGUGCCAGCAGCCGCGGUAAUACGGAGGGUGCGAGCGUUAAUCGGAAUUACUGGGCGUAAAGCGCAUGCAGGCGGCCUGUUAAGUCAGAUGUGAAAGACCCGGGGCGUUAACCUCGGAAUUGCAUUUGUAAACUAGGCAGGCUAGAGUCUUGUAGAGGGGGGUAGGAAGUUUCAGGUGUAGCGGUGAAAUGCGUAGAGAUCUGAAGGAAUACCAGUGGCGAAGGCGGCCCCCUCGGACAAAGACUGACGCUCAGAUGCGAAAGCGUGGGGAGCAAACAGGAUUAGAUACCCCUGGUAG